RNAcentral lists this unclassified non-coding RNA (485 nucleotides) under Hevea brasiliensis (rubber tree). The record is from RNAcentral. Lineage: Eukaryota; Viridiplantae; Streptophyta; Magnoliopsida; Malpighiales; Euphorbiaceae.
UCUUUAGCAACAGUCACACCAUCAUUAACUAUUUUGGGAGAGCCAUACUUGCUUUCAAGAACAACAUUUCGGCCUUUAGGUCCGAGAGUAACCCCAACUAGAUCUGCAAGUUUAUUCACGCCAGUUUGCAAUUUCUUAAUUGCUGAUCCAUCCUUAUUGAAAUGCAACUCCUUGGCCAUGGCAAACACCUUAGGUGAAGGUGGCCUACGUAAAACUACAUUCUGUCUCCUACCCAAUGAGCUUCCAGAAAUGGAGGCAAAAGAUGACAACCUGUUUGAAGAUGCAAGUUUCUUAUCCAUCACACAGCCAUUAGCUGCAGCCAAGGAUCCAACCGAGGACAUAGCAGUAAAGGUGUACGCCAUUUACUAUUUGAUACCCGAGAAAUCCGACAGCAGAGGUUGCUGUGGGCGUAGGAGAUUAGGGUUUUAGAAAUGGAAGGUCGGAUAAGAGGCGUCGUAUUACCCUUACUGUGAAACAGCAGUCUG